Molecule: ribosomal RNA, 336 nt
Filed under: uncultured bacterium
Lineage: Bacteria
Description: partial 16S ribosomal RNA
Rfam family: Bacterial small subunit ribosomal RNA
Source: RNAcentral
CCUACGGGAGGCAGCAGUAGGGAAUAUUCCACAAUGGGCGAAAGCCUGAUGCAGCAACGCCGCGUGGAUGAAGAUGGUCUUCGGAUCGUAAACCCCUGUUGUUCGAGAAGAAAGUGCGUCAGGGUAGCUCUUCACGUAUCGACGGUAUCUAACCAGAAAGCUACGGCUAACUACGCGCCAGCAGCCGCGGUAAGACGGAGGGGGCAAGCGUUAUCCGUAUUUAUUGGGCGGAAAGGGAACGCAGGCGGUCGUUUAAGUCGGAUGUGAAAGCCUUCGGUUGAACGGGAGUAGUGCAGUGGAUACUGGGAGACUUGAGUGCGGAAGAGGAGGGUGGAA